CCAACUAUGUGUCUGUCUAUCCCUGUUCUCUCCCCUCUGCACAGGCCAUACAAACGCUUCACACCGCGUGGCCGCUGCCACUCUAACCUGGUGGUCCCAGCGCGCACGACCCACGUGGAGUUCCAGGUCUCCGGCAGCCUCUGGAACUGCCGGUCUGCGGCCAACAAGGCUGAGUUCAUCUCAGCCUAUGCUACCCUCCAGUCCCUAGACUUCCUGGCGCUGACGGAAACAUGGAUUACCACAGAUAACACUGCUACUCCUACUGCUCUCUCCUCGUCUGCCCACGUGUUCUCGCAUACCCCUAGAGCAUCGAGCCAGCGGGGUGGUGGCGCUGGAAUCCUCAUCUAUCCCAAGUGGACAUUCUCUCUUUCUCCCCUGACCCAUCUGUCUAUCUCCUCAUUUGAAUUCCAUGCUGUCACAGUUACCAGCCCUUUCAAGCUUAACAUCCUUAUCAUUUAUCGCCCUCCAGGUUCCCUUGGAGAGUUCAUCAAUGAGCUUGACGCCUUGAUAAGUUCCUUUCCUGAGGAUGGCUCACCUCUCACAGUUCUGGGUGACUUUAACCUCCCCACGUCUACCUUUGACUCAUUCCUCUCUGCCUCCUUCUUUCCACUCCUCUCCUCUUUUGACCUCACCCUCUCACCUUCCCCCCCUACUCACAAGGCAGGCAACACGCUUGACCUCAUCUUUACUAGAUGCUGUUCUUCCACUAAUCUCAUUGCAACUCCCCUCCAAGUCUCCGACCACUACCUUGUAUCCUUUUCCCUCUCGCUCUCAUCCAACACUUCUCACUCUGCCCCUACUCGGAUGGUAUUGCGCCGUCCCAACCUUCGCUCUCUCUCUCCCGCUACUCUCUCCUCUUCCAUCCUAUCAUCUCUUCCCUCUGCUCAAACCUUCUCCAACCUAUCUCCUGAUUCUGCCUCCUCAACCCUCCUCUCCUCCCUUUCUGCAUCUUUUGAUUUUCUCUGUCCCCUAUCCUCCAGGCCGGCUCGGUCCUCCCCUCCUGCUCCGUGGCUCGACGACUCACUGCGAGCUCACAGAACAGGGCUCCGGGCAGCCGAGCGGAAAUGGAGGAAAACUCG
RNAcentral lists this long non-coding RNA (1079 nucleotides) under Salmo trutta (river trout). RNAcentral describes it as "lncRNA (ENSSTUG00000043005.1)". The record is from RNAcentral. Lineage: Eukaryota; Metazoa; Chordata; Actinopteri; Salmoniformes; Salmonidae.